UACGGAGGGUGCGAGCGUUAAUCGGAAUUACUGGGCGUAAAGGGCGCGUAGGCGGUGGGUUACGUCUGCCGUGAAAUCCCCGGGCUCAACCUGGGAAUGGCGGUGGAAACGGGCUGACUGGAGUAUGGGAGAGGGUGAUGGAAUUCCAGGUGUAGCGGUGAAAUGCGUAGAGAUCUGGAGGAACACCAGUGGCGAAGGAGGUCACCUGGCCCAAUAUUGACUAUGAGGCGCGAAAGCGUGGGGAGCAAACAGG
Molecule: ribosomal RNA, 253 nt
Filed under: uncultured bacterium
Lineage: Bacteria
Description: partial 16S ribosomal RNA
Rfam family: Bacterial small subunit ribosomal RNA
Source: RNAcentral